RNAcentral lists this transfer RNA (64 nucleotides) under Cavia porcellus (domestic guinea pig). It matches the Rfam family "tRNA", at positions 1 to 62 of the family's 71-position model. Rfam says of the family: Transfer RNA (tRNA) molecules are approximately 80 nucleotides in length. The record is from Rfam by way of RNAcentral. Lineage: Eukaryota; Metazoa; Chordata; Mammalia; Rodentia; Caviidae.
GGGGAUUUAGCUCAGUGGCAUAAGCACCUGCCUUGCAAGCAGACAAUCGUGAGUUCAAUCCCCA